CACCCAUCUUGUGAGCUGUUGAGGGAGAACAAGCACAGGCUGCAGAGGGAAAAUGAUUCUCUCAAGGCAAAAAUAGCAACAUUGAAAUUGCUGCCAGACGUUUUGCAGAAGAUGGAGGAGUUUCUUCGCUCAGCACCAAGACCAACGACAACACCAAUACCAACACCAACACCAAGACCAAGACCAAGACCAAGACCAGAACCAACACUAUCACCAGCACCAACAGCAGUUCCACCACCAGCAACAGAAGACCCAUCACCAGCACCAGGUCAUUCCAAAAGGACUUGUGGAGCGCUGCUCCUUCCAAAGCCCCCAGAAGUUCAUAAAUGAUCUCCUACAUGGGAUGUAUACCAGGGAAUAUAUGGCAGGCCAUUCAGUGACUGACCAGUCAUCCAGCAGCUGCACAGAAGGAAAACCUGGCCUAGCCAAACAUGACCUUGUUGAAA
Gadus morhua (Atlantic cod) is the source of this 446-nucleotide long non-coding RNA. RefSeq lists it as uncharacterized. The record is from RefSeq and is a predicted model, not a curated record. The transcript has 3 exons. Lineage: Eukaryota; Metazoa; Chordata; Actinopteri; Gadiformes; Gadidae.